This is a long non-coding RNA of Cyprinus carpio carpio, 760 nucleotides long. NCBI's taxonomy places the organism in Eukaryota, Metazoa, Chordata, Actinopteri, Cypriniformes, Cyprinidae. The record is from Ensembl.
GCCCUUUUAUUUGCAUCAGCGGAAACUAUCUGCUGUUUAAAUCAUUUGUGACUGGAAGAGUACUGGGAACAUUUCAAACAGCACUGUUCAUUUUACGCUGGUUGGAUAUAAAGAGUUUAAGAUUACAUCAGGCUGAUAGAGCAAAUGUUUUUUCCUGUAUGUCUGAGAGGAUGCAUCAACAAAUUCCAAACCAUAAAGAGAGGAUCAGGGGAGACCAGCAUGGAGCAGACAUCUAUAGUGAAUGGACAUAAAUUAAGUGAACUUUCUAAAAUCGAGUGAACUUUUUACAAGUUUACAGGAGAAAAACAAAUUCUGUUCUGUAUAAACUAAAAUGUUAGGUAUAAGCUAAACUCUUAAACAGGAAUGGAAGACUGUCCAGACCCAGCUACAGAAUGAGAACUUCCAGAUUCGUGGACGUGACACAGAAGGUUUCGGUCCAGUGUCGGGAUAACCCAUAUGGAUUUAAUGGUGUGGUGGUGUAUGGGGAUGAAUCCUACGGCAUGACCUUAGGAUAUAUCCCAGAUAUGACUGGCUACAAUCAAUACCUAACUAGGUCAUCAAAUUUGUAGAUGAAUUCGAUUCUUCAUCAGAACAGAGUUUGGAAAUGUAGCUUUACAUCACUUGCUCAACGAAGGAUCUUCUGCUCAUUCAGACGGCACCCAUUCACUGCAAUGUUAUGGACAGAGGACGCAUAUUUUUGCUUAAAGCAGUUUGAAGAUAAAAACAUCUUGACAGCUUUUCACUUCAUAAGACAUGUGAC